RNAcentral lists this transfer RNA (70 nucleotides) under Batrachocottus nikolskii. RNAcentral's name for it is "tRNA-Met". It matches the Rfam family "tRNA". From Rfam's summary of the family: Transfer RNA (tRNA) molecules are approximately 80 nucleotides in length. Their secondary structure includes four short double-helical elements and three loops (D, anti-codon, and T loops). The record is from RNAcentral. Lineage: Eukaryota; Metazoa; Chordata; Actinopteri; Perciformes; Cottidae.
AGUAAGGUCAGCUAAAUUAAGCUCUUGGGCCCAUACCCCAGAUAUGUUGGUUAGAUUCCUUCCUUUACUA